UGCCACUUAUAUAUUCUGUGUGUAUUUUAGUAUUUUCAUUUAUUUUUUCUAUUGUCUAAGUUGAACAAGUAGCAUUUUGCCCAGCCUCAACACGGAAUAAUUUCAUCAAAUCUGAUUUGUACCUGCUUUAUGUUAUUGGCAUAUGCAAUUAGCCUAUAUGAUAUCUGGAAACUCUUUUUAUUACAUUUAGGUGUUCUGUUUGCUGAGCUAAUAAAGUUUACUUCUAUGCAUAAUUAUAGAAAAGAUGGUUUUGGGUGGCACACCUAGUUUCAGGGUAUUCUUUACCCAUGGAACAUCUUGAACUCUUUGCCUUUCUAUGAUCAUCCUUGAAAUGUGCUUUUUUACAGAAUCUUUGUGCUUGAGUUUUGAAUUUUUGUGUUGCAGAUCAGUUUAUGCUGUUAUUGCAGUGAAUACAAUAAAUCGUUUUAAAUUUGUUGUUCAUGUGAAACAAUUGAAUUUCAUCUUAACAAAAUUUUUUCCCUCUAUAAUUGCAAUAAAAUUGGAUAAAUUUUAACAACGGUCCCUGAACUUAUCUAGUUGUAA
RNAcentral lists this unclassified non-coding RNA (543 nucleotides) under Hevea brasiliensis (rubber tree). Lineage: Eukaryota; Viridiplantae; Streptophyta; Magnoliopsida; Malpighiales; Euphorbiaceae. The record is from RNAcentral.